Molecule: transfer RNA, 73 nt
Filed under: Cryptomonas curvata
Lineage: Eukaryota; Cryptophyceae; Cryptomonadales; Cryptomonadaceae
Description: tRNA-Phe
Rfam family: tRNA
About the family: Transfer RNA (tRNA) molecules are approximately 80 nucleotides in length. Their secondary structure includes four short double-helical elements and three loops (D, anti-codon, and T loops). Further hydrogen bonds mediate the characteristic L-shaped molecular structure. tRNAs have two regions of fundamental functional importance: the anti-codon, which is responsible for specific mRNA codon recognition, and the 3' end, to which the tRNAs corresponding amino acid is attached (by aminoacyl-tRNA synthetases). tRNAs cope with the degeneracy of the genetic code in two manners: having more than one tRNA (with a specific anti-codon) for a particular amino acid; and 'wobble' base-pairing, i.e. permitting non-standard base-pairing at the 3rd anti-codon position.
Source: RNAcentral
GUCUAGAUAGCUCAGAGGUUAGAGCGAAGGACUGAAAAUCCUUAGGUCAAUGGUUCAAAUCCAUUUCUGGACA